Molecule: signal recognition particle RNA, 246 nt
Filed under: chicken gut metagenome
Description: Bacterial large signal recognition particle RNA
Rfam family: Bacterial large signal recognition particle RNA
About the family: The signal recognition particle (SRP) is a universally conserved ribonucleoprotein involved in the co-translational targeting of proteins to membranes. Archaeal SRP consists of a 7S RNA and homologues of the eukaryotic SRP19 and SRP54 proteins.
Source: RNAcentral
UACCAGCCGGGGAUUUAGCGGGGCCCUGAACCUGAAAUCCGCUACAGCAGGGGUGGAAUCCCCUUUUGAGGAAGGAACUUUUACGAGUGAGUCGGGGCUGCUGUGUUGAGGAGCGGGUCUUGCGCAAUCGGGAACUGUGAACCAUGUCAGGUGGGGAACCAAGCAGCAUUAAGCGGUCUCCCCGAUGUGCCGCGAGGGUGCCUGUUCUGAGCAGGGGACUCGAAUAUCGCGUGGGAGCGACUUUCG